RNAcentral lists this ribosomal RNA (253 nucleotides) under uncultured bacterium. RNAcentral's name for it is "partial 16S ribosomal RNA". It matches the Rfam family "Bacterial small subunit ribosomal RNA", at positions 524 to 776 of the family's 1533-position model. The record is from RNAcentral.
UACGAACUGUGCGAACGUUAUUCGGAAUCACUGGGCUUACAGGGUGCGUAGGCGGCUACUCAAGUCAGGUGUGAAAGCCCCCGGCUCAACCGGGGAACUGCGCUUGAAACUGGGUGGCUCGAGUCAGCUAGAGGUGCACGGAACUUCCAGUGGAGCGGUGAAAUGUGUUGAUAUUGGAAGGAACACCAGAGGCGUAAGCGGUGCACUGGGGCUGGUCUGACGCUGAGGCACGAAAGCCAGGGUAGCGAACGGG